UAGGGAAUCUUCGGCAAUGGACGGAAGUCUGACCGAGCAACGCCGCGUGAGUGAAGAAGGUUUUCGGAUCGUAAAGCUCUGUUGUAAGAGAAGAACGAGUGUGAGAGUGGAAAGUUCACACUGUGACGGUAUCUUACCAGAAAGGGACGGCUAACUACGUGCCAGCAGCCGCGGUAAUACGUAGGUCCCGAGCGUUGUCCGGAUUUAUUGGGCGUAAAGCGAGCGCAGGCGGUUAGAUAAGUCUGAAGUUAAAGGCUGUGGCUUAACCAUAGUAGGCUUUGGAAACUGUUUAACUUGAGUGCAAGAGGGGAGAGUGGAAUUCCAUGUGUAGCGGUGAAAUGCGUAGAUAUAUGGAGGAACACCGGUGGCGAAAGCGGCUCUCUGGCUUGUAACUGACGCUGAGGCUUGAAAGCGUGGGGAGCAAACAGGAUUAGAUACCCUGGUAGUCCACGCCGUAAACGAUGAGUGCUAGGUGUUAGACCCUUUCCGGGGUUUAGUGCCGCAGCUAACGCAUUAAGCACUCCGCCUGGGGAGUACGACCGCAAGGUUG
RNAcentral lists this ribosomal RNA (550 nucleotides) under uncultured bacterium. RNAcentral describes it as "bacterial SSU rRNA". It matches the Rfam family "Bacterial small subunit ribosomal RNA", at positions 355 to 896 of the family's 1533-position model. The record is from RNAcentral.